This 253-nucleotide ribosomal RNA is filed under the name uncultured bacterium. RNAcentral describes it as "partial 16S ribosomal RNA". It matches the Rfam family "Bacterial small subunit ribosomal RNA", at positions 524 to 776 of the family's 1533-position model. The record is from RNAcentral.
UACGUAGGGUGCAGGCGUUAAUCGGAAUUAUUGGGCGUAAAGCGUGCGCAGGCGGUUUGCUAAGACAGGUGUGAAAUCCCCGGGCUUAACCUGGGAACUGCGCUUGUAACUGGCAAGCUAGAGUGUGGCAGAGGGGGGUGGAAUUCCACGUGUAGCAGUGAAAUGCGUAGAGAUGUGGAGGAACACCGAUGGCGAAGGCAGCCCCCUGGGCUAACACUGACGCUCAUGCACGAAAGCGUGGGGAGCAAACAGG